GAGUUUGAUCAUGGCUCAGGAUGAACGCUAGCGGCAGGCUUAACACAUGCAAGUCGAGGGGCAGCGCGGGUAGCAAUACCUGGCGGCGACCGGCAAACGGGUGCGGAACACGUACAGAACCUACCUUGAUCUGGGGCAUAGCCCGGAGAAAUCCGGAUUAACUCCCCAUAACAUAUAUGAGAGGCAUCUCUUGAAUAUUAAAAAUUUAUUGGAUCGAGAUGGCUGUGCGUCCCAUUUAGCUAGUUGGUAGGGUAACGGCCUACCAAGGCAACGAUGGGUAGCUGGUGUGAGAGCACGACCAGCCACACGGGCACUGAGACACGGGCCCGACUCCUACGGGAGGCAGCAGUGAGGAAUAUUGGUCAAUGGACGCAAGUCUGAACCAGCCAUGCCGCGUGAAGGAUGAAGGCCUUCUGGGUUGUAAACUUC
This 429-nucleotide ribosomal RNA is filed under the name uncultured Sphingobacterium sp. Its description in RNAcentral is "bacterial SSU rRNA". It matches the Rfam family "Bacterial small subunit ribosomal RNA", at positions 9 to 433 of the family's 1533-position model. The record is from RNAcentral. Lineage: Bacteria; Pseudomonadati; Bacteroidota; Sphingobacteriia; Sphingobacteriales; Sphingobacteriaceae.